Portunus trituberculatus (swimming crab) is the source of this 366-nucleotide long non-coding RNA. RefSeq lists it as uncharacterized. The record is from RefSeq and is a predicted model, not a curated record. NCBI's taxonomy places the organism in Eukaryota, Metazoa, Arthropoda, Malacostraca, Decapoda, Portunidae. The transcript is spliced from 3 exons.
CAUCAACGCCAACCAUCCCGACGGAGACAGUGCCCCUUGCCACGCCACCACCCACCACCCGAACUGGCAUCACCACACCGCCCACCUGCGCCAAAAUUAGUGGUAUGACUCUCAGGAGGAGGGAGAAUAAGAGACAGUGCACUCAAAAGAAAAUGGGAAGAUGUGCUUCUACUGGGCUGAAAAGAAAAUGGAGUCUGAGAGGCGUGAGGAGAGCUGAGGCUGCCUGAGUGAGGAGCAUUGCUAGGGAAGGAAGGUAGGAAGGAAGGAAGGAAGGCACCACUACAAUGGCUGAAGAAGAGAAUGUGAAGGUGGCGGUUUGGGUCCGGCCAAUGAUAUCCUUUUUAAUGCCAAGAAUGAGAUCUUUGG